UGGUUCUGGCAUCGAUGAAGAACGCAGCGAAAUGCGAUAAGUAAUGUGAAUUGCAGAAUUCAGUGAAUCAUCGAGUUUUUGAACGCACAUUGCGCCCUCUGGUAUUCCGGGGGGCAUGCCCGUUCGAGCGUCAUUGCACCCAUCGAGCCCGGCUCGGUAUUGGGUCACGGGGGUGACCCGGACCUUAACGUCUCCGGCUGGAGCGUCGCGAUCGCAGCGUUGUGGUACACCCCAAUCCGCUGGCGAGUCGGGCGCCCCCCCGCCGCGAAACUUUCUAUCUAGUUUGACCUCGGAUCGGGUAGGGAUACCCGCUGA
RNAcentral lists this unclassified non-coding RNA (315 nucleotides) under uncultured fungus. Its description in RNAcentral is "partial contains 5.8S ribosomal RNA and internal transcribed spacer 2". The stretch from base 1 to 133 matches the Rfam family "5.8S ribosomal RNA", at positions 22 to 154 of the family's 154-position model. The record is from RNAcentral. Lineage: Eukaryota; Fungi.